AGAUUGAACGCUGGCGGCAGGCCUAACACAUGCAAGUCGAGCGGCAGCACGGGUACUUGUACCUGGUGGCGAGCGGCGGACGGGUGAGUAAUGCCUAGGAAUCUGCCUGGUAGUGGGGGAUAACGCUCGGAAACGGACGCUAAUACCGCAUACGUCCUACGGGAGAAAGCAGGGGACCUUCGGGCCUUGCGCUAUCAGAUGAGCCUAGGUCGGAUUAGCUAGUUGUGAGGUAAUGGCUCACCAAGGCGACGAUCCGUAACUGGUCUGAGAGGAUGAUCAGUCACACUGGAACUGAGACACGGUCCAGACUCCGUACGGGAGGCAGCGAGGUGGGGAAUAGUUGGACAAGUGGGACGAAAGCCUGACUCCGAGCCAUCGCGCGUGGUGUGAAGAAGGUUCUUA
Molecule: ribosomal RNA, 402 nt
Filed under: uncultured soil bacterium
Lineage: Bacteria
Description: bacterial SSU rRNA
Rfam family: Bacterial small subunit ribosomal RNA
Source: RNAcentral